UCCCAUGCUGUGACCCUCUAGAGGAAGCACUUUCUGUUUGUUGUCUGAGAAAAAACAAAGUGAUUCCCUUUAGAGUGUUACCAUUUGGGA
Molecule: microRNA precursor, 90 nt
Organism: Gorilla gorilla gorilla (western lowland gorilla)
Lineage: Eukaryota; Metazoa; Chordata; Mammalia; Primates; Hominidae
Source: Ensembl